RNAcentral lists this non-coding RNA (690 nucleotides) under Rhipicentor nuttalli. Lineage: Eukaryota; Metazoa; Arthropoda; Arachnida; Ixodida; Ixodidae. The record is from RNAcentral.
AAAUUAGGUUUGGGUUUUAAAGAAAAACUCCAUAGUUUUUUUAUACUUUUACUAAAAAAGAAAAAAAGUAGAAAAUCAAGUUUAAUUAAUAAUUAAAAAUUAUUGAAAAUUAUGGAAAUUUUCUAGCUAAGUUUGUGCCAGCAGCAGCGGUUAGACAAACAGAACAUUUCUUUUUAUAAUUAAAUUUAAAUAAUUUUUAAAAUUUUUAUGGAAAAUAAAGGUGAAAUUUAUUUUCUUUUCUUUAGUGAAUUAAAAUUUUAAUUCUUUAUUAAACUAGGAUUAGAUACCCUAUUAUUUAGAGCUAAACGUUGUAAGUAAAUAUAAAUUAUGAAAGCAAAAAACUAUGGCGGUACCUUAAGCUUUUCAGAGGAAUUUGCUCUUUAAUGGAUAAAACACCUUAAUCUUACUUAAAUUGGUUAAAACAGUUUGUAUACCACUAUAAAAAUAGUAAUAUGUAAUUAUUAUUAAAAUUCAAUUUUUUGAAAAAAAUUAAGUCAAGGUGCAGCAAAAAUUUAAGAAUGAAGUGAAUUACAAUGCUUCUAAGAAAGAAAAAUUGAAAUUAAUUAUAGGAUUUGAAAGUAAAAUUAAAAUAGAAAGUUAAUUUAAAUUAAGCUCUAAGAUAUGUACAUAUCGCCCGUCACUCUUUUUAAAGAUAAGUCGUAACAAAGUUAAAAUACUGGAAAGUGUUUU